AGUGAACGCUGGCGGUAGGCCUAACACAUGCAAGUCGAACGGCAGCACAGUAAGAGCUUGCUCUUACGGGUGGCGAGUGGCGGACGGGUGAGGAAUACAUCGGAAUCUACUUUUUCGUGGGGGAUAACGUAGGGAAACUUACGCUAAUACCGCAUACGACCUACGGGUGAAAGCAUGGGAUCUUCGGACCUUGCGCGAUUGAAUGAGCCGAUGACGGAUUAGCUAGUUGGCGGGGUAAAGGCCCACCAAGGCGACGAUCCGUAGCUGGUCUGAGAGGAUGAUCAGCCACACUGGAACUGAGACACGGUCCAGACUCCUACGGGAGGCAGCAGUGGGGAAUAUUGGACAAUGGGCGCAAGCCUGAUCCAGCCAUACCGCGUGGGUGAAGAAGGCCUUCGGGUUGUAAAGCCCUUUUGUUGGGAAAGAAAAGCAGCAGGUUAAUACCCCGCUGUUCUGACGGUACCCAAAGAAUAAGCACCGGCUAACUUCGUG
Molecule: ribosomal RNA, 492 nt
Filed under: uncultured bacterium
Lineage: Bacteria
Description: partial 16S ribosomal RNA
Rfam family: Bacterial small subunit ribosomal RNA
Source: RNAcentral